AGCCGCGGUAACACGUAGGGGGCGAGCGUUGUCCGGAUUUAUUGGGCGUAAAGAGCUCGUAGGCGGUUCCGUCAGUCGGGUGUGAAAACUCUGGGCUCAACCCAGAGACGCCACCCGAUACUGCGGUGACUAGAGUCCGGUAGGGGAGUGCGGAAUUCCUGGUGUAGCGGUGAAAUGCGCAGAUAUCAGGAGGAACACCAACGGCGAAGGCAGCACUCUGGGCCGGUACUGACGCUGAGGAGCGAAAGCGUGGGGAGCGAACAGGAUUAGAUACCCUGGUAGUCCACGCCGUAAACGUUGGGCACUAGGUGUGGGACCUUUCCAACGGGUUCCGUGCCGCAGCUAACGCAUUAAGUGCCCCGCCUGGGGAGUACGGCCGCAAGGCUAAAACUCAAAGGAAUUGACGGGGGCCCGCACAAGCGGCGGAGCAUGUUGCUUAAUUCGAGGCAACGCGAAGAACCUUACCUGGGUUUGACAUGUAGGGAAAAGCUGCAGAGAUGCAGUGUCCUUCGGGGCCCUACACAGGUGGUGCAUGGCC
RNAcentral lists this ribosomal RNA (538 nucleotides) under uncultured archaeon. RNAcentral describes it as "bacterial SSU rRNA". It matches the Rfam family "Bacterial small subunit ribosomal RNA", at positions 513 to 1050 of the family's 1533-position model. The record is from RNAcentral.